This 368-nucleotide long non-coding RNA is filed under the name Brachypodium distachyon (stiff brome). RNAcentral's name for it is "long non-coding RNA (BDIS_LNC001248)". Lineage: Eukaryota; Viridiplantae; Streptophyta; Magnoliopsida; Poales; Poaceae. The record is from RNAcentral.
AGGAUUGUGCCGUGAGCCCGCCCGUGUCACAUUAAUUUUACAUAUGUACUGUAUGUGGUUCAUUUUGCAGGAGCCUCAGCUGUCUUCAGCUCGGGUGUUUGACCUCACCCGUGAGCCAUUCUGCAUGUAGAACCCGUGGCCGUCGACGCAGCCUACUGCAAUCGACGAAUUGCUACCUAAGCAUCGACCCUGUCGAAAUAAUCAUAUCGAUCACCGGGUUAAUCAACUAAAUACGAUGCUUUCUCUACUACUUAGUGUGACGAAUCACCUGCCAGGCUGCAUAUGCGCCAUCAACAAUGGAUCGGUACUAUCUCGUAGGCUCUCGAGGACCUGUUUCUCCAUGCCUACUGUACUGUAACAAGCUGUAA